GAGGAUCAGAUUCCUAGGGGCUUCCCUACCAUUGAUAUGGGCCCACAAUUGAAGGUGGUGGAACGCACUCGCACCGCCACCAUGCUUUGUGCAGCCAGCGGUAAUCCGGAUCCGGAAAUCACUUGGUUUAAAGAUUUCUUACCUGUUGACACAAGCAACAACAAUGGUCGUAUUAAGCAGUUACGAUCAGGUAGGGUCUUGUCACUGUUUCCACUAACUCCUGGACAGUUUUUAAAAUUACCCUUCUCUUUCUUUAUUCCUUAAAUUUAAUUUAAAUUUUUAUUUUUAUUUUUUAGGUAUUGAUUUAUCUCCCUCUUUUCUUUUUCCGUUAUUUAAUAUGUUGUCCAUGUUUGUGAGGUCAUGGCCUCAUCCACAAUCUGUCUUCCCUUGGUGUGUUUUGCGGCUUCUGUUUACUCCACAUUGCUCACUGCUGUGACUAUAUUCUUAAUGAGUUUUAAUUUACUGCUUUUUCUGCGCUACUUGAUGGAUCCAUUUCUUUCUCCUUUCUUCGUUUUCUUUUGAAACAAAUUUAUUUCCACAUUGAAUUUCAUUUCAAACUUGCAAAGCGCUCCAGUGGCUAUUUCCGUAUUUAAAAAAAAAA
This 601-nucleotide long non-coding RNA is filed under the name Rattus norvegicus (Norway rat). RNAcentral describes it as "long non-coding RNA NONRATT023336". The record is from RNAcentral. Lineage: Eukaryota; Metazoa; Chordata; Mammalia; Rodentia; Muridae.